RNAcentral lists this ribosomal RNA (253 nucleotides) under uncultured bacterium. RNAcentral's name for it is "partial 16S ribosomal RNA". It matches the Rfam family "Bacterial small subunit ribosomal RNA", at positions 524 to 776 of the family's 1533-position model. The record is from RNAcentral.
UACGUAGGGGGCGAGCGUUGUCCGGAGUUACUGGGCGUAAAGGGCAUGCAGGCGGUCGGACGCGUUUCGGGUGACAGCGGGUGGCUUAACUACCCGAGUGGUCGAAAGACGGUUUGACUUGAGGACGCGAGAGGGACACGGAAUUCCGGGUGGAGUGGUGAAAUGCGUAGAGAUCCGGAGGAACACCGAAGGCGAAGGCAGUGUCCUGGCGCGUAACUGACGCUGAGGUGCGAAAGCGUGGGGAGCAAACAGG